This 449-nucleotide ribosomal RNA is filed under the name uncultured bacterium. RNAcentral describes it as "bacterial SSU rRNA". It matches the Rfam family "Bacterial small subunit ribosomal RNA", at positions 328 to 793 of the family's 1533-position model. The record is from RNAcentral.
ACACCAGACUCCUACGGGAGGCAGCAGUGGGGAAUAUUGCACAAUGGGGGAAACCCUGAUGCAGCGACGCCGCGUGAGUGAAGAAGUAUUUCGGUAUGUAAAGCUCUAUCAGCAGGGAAGAAGAAGGACGGUACCUGAGUAAGAAGCCCCGGCUAACUACGUGCCAGCAGCCGCGGUAAUACGUAGGGGGCAAGCGUUAUCCGGAUUUACUGGGUGUAAAGGGAGCGUAGACGGCCAUGCAAGCAUGGAGUGAAAGCCCGGGGCCCAACCCCGGGACUGCUCUGGGAACUGUGCGGCUGGAGUGCGGGAGGGGCAGGCGGAAUUCCUGGUGUAGCGGUGAAAUGCGUAGAUAUCAGGAGGAACACCGGCGGCGAAGGCGGAUUGCUGGACAGUAACUGGCGCUGAGGCGCGAAAGCGUGGGGAGCAAACAGGAUUAGAUACCCCGGUAC